RNAcentral lists this long non-coding RNA (1577 nucleotides) under Pan troglodytes (chimpanzee). RNAcentral's name for it is "long non-coding RNA NONPTRT016986". The record is from RNAcentral. Lineage: Eukaryota; Metazoa; Chordata; Mammalia; Primates; Hominidae.
UCAUUCACUGGGAUGGUUAAGGGCAGCAGUGGGCUGACAUCCUCAGGAUCCUGUCUGUUUGGUUGUUCAAUGCCUGCUCCGUGGGAAUGCUCUCUAGUGGACAUUGAGAAUGAUCCACCCCAUUUUUCCUCAUUUUGCAGUCUUGCCCUUUCCAGGCUCUUGACCAUAACCAGCUAAGCCAUUCUCUACUGCUUGUGUGUAUGUGACUGUCAUAACCUCAGGGCCCUUCUCCCACCACAUCAGGUUGGGGAUCAGUUCAAGUGUUCAAGGCCCCCUCCAAUGGGAAGAUUUCCCUUCACUGCUGACUUUCAGGGCUGCUCUUGCAUCAGGCUACUGGGAGAUAGUGGUACAUUUUUGGGUUCAACCAGAAUAUGGAGUUGACUUAUCUGUGAAGUAGGCCCAAGGUUUUCCUUCUCCAUCAGCUAGUGAUAGAGAACUCCCUACAACCAGGAGCUGAAGGAAACACAUUGGUGCAACAUAAGUAGGUGAUGUGAGAUCUGGGUCACCUGUUCGUGUCCUUUAGGCCUGCUAGGGACUGAUCUUGAAUGUGCCGUUUUCAUUAAAUGGUGGAAUUCUCCAGUGUCCACACAACUUAUGACUUGGCAGGUCUAAACAUACCCAGACCAUGAUGGACAGCUCUAGUCUCAUUGUUCCUUGAUAUCCCAUGUUCAGGUGACUAGUCCCUACUACAGCCCAAUAGCAUGCCUAAACCUGGCUUUUGAAUGGUGAGGUUUUUUUUUUUUCUGUAGAUAGUUCAGUCUUACUCUACAAUCCUAGGGUUUUGUUCUGUAACUCCCCUGCUUAAUCUCACCAAGACUCCUCAAAACAUUGUCAUCUAUCUCAGAUAUUGCUAGCAUCCUGGAAUCUGCCAGGUCUUAAGGUACCAAAUACGAAGCUGCUACCUUAAAGAUGGAAUGUUCAAGGUUUAACGAUUUCUUCUUUAUCUUGGAAGAAAUAUCUCAAUAUGCCCCAUACCACUGGACCUUUAAAAACUUUUCUGAUGUGGCAGGCCUCUGAGUCUUUGUAGGGCUUAUCUCCAACCCCUGAUGCACACAUCUUACCAGGACUUCUGAGUUCUUGCCAUUUCCUGCUCAUUUGAAUUGUUAUUAUGAUGCUAUCAGUAUAAUAGGCCCGUCUGAUGUUCUGUGGAAUGUUGAGAAAAAGAUGGUUCCUUUGAACUGUAUGGUGACAGAGAGCAGAAGAGUUAAAUAGGUCUGGGCAAAACCAUUCAUAGGUACAGUUAUGUAUGGCAAGUGAAUGCAAACUUGUUCUGAUCUUCCUCCAGAGAGACUGAAAAAAAUGUAUUCAUCACAUUGUAAACCACAUACUAAGUGCCGGAGGCUGUGCAGAUCUGUGCUACUGAAGAUGUCUGGCAAAAAGACUUGCAAUUGAGGCUACUGCUUGGUUAAGUUUAUGGUCGUCCAUUGUUAUCUGCCAGGAGUCAUCUAAUUUUGCUGAUGGCUUAUAUGGGGAUAUGAUGGGGACCAUGACCCUGCAUCCUUUAAGUCUUUGAAGGUGAUACCAUACUAGUCUUUUUCAUUCCAUCUCAGAUCAACUAGCAGUGAAAGCGAGUUCCA